This 1724-nucleotide unclassified non-coding RNA is filed under the name Limulus polyphemus (Atlantic horseshoe crab). Its description in RNAcentral is "poly(rC)-binding protein 3-like, transcript variant X4". Lineage: Eukaryota; Metazoa; Arthropoda; Merostomata; Xiphosura; Limulidae. The record is from RNAcentral.
AUCGACUCUUUCAAAUGAUAUUCUUUACCGCGUUCAUACGCCUUGUAAUCAGCUGCGUGUUUAUCCUACGCUUAUUGGUGGAACGCAAUAGGGUUGUCAAGACCCGGUUUAAAACUCACUGAUUCUAGAGCCUCGUUUUCGUCUCUCCGUGAGUAAGACGCUUCCAUGCACGCAGUCUGUGCACACAGUGUGGACCAGUCGUAACAAGGCUUAUUAAUAAACGCUAGAGAAACACUGGUGUGGGAGAUUUGAUAAUUUGUCUCUCCUUCUUCUCAGAGAACGAUUUAUUUUCUACUCGCCUGCCUUCCUGUCAUUGCAUGGGCUACACUUCUUCGCCAGCUUCAGGAUAUUUCCACAUGUGAAAGGUACACCAAAAACAGCACGUGACCUGUGUCCUGCCUGCCUUACACCCCUCUCCAUACCGCCAGCUAUGGCCACCGUAGACUCUGAACCGUUGUCCGGCGAUGGCUCCUCCGUUACUCUUACUAUUCGGUUGAUCAUGCAAGGCAAGGAAGUUGGCAGCAUUAUUGGAAAGAAAGGUGACAACAUAAAGAAAUUCCGUGAAGAGAGUGGAGCCAAAAUUAAUAUUUCUGAUAACUCGUGUCCAGAGCGUAUUGUCACAGUUACAGGAGCCACAGAUGCUAUAUUAAAAGCUUUCACACUUAUUACUAGAAAGUUGGAAGAGGAUUUGCACAACACUCCUGGUUUCAAUGUUCCCAAGCCUCCAGUCACCCUUCGGCUCAUUGUUCCAGCCAGCCAGUGUGGCUCGCUUAUUGGAAAAGGAGGAUCAAAGAUUAAAGAAAUUAGAGAAAUUACAGGGGCAUCUAUACAAGUGGCAAGUGAGAUGUUGCCCAACUCUACAGAGAGAGCAGUUACUAUUUCAGGGACAGCUGAUGCAAUCACGAAAUGUAUCUACCAAACCUGUUGUGUGAUGAUGGAGUCCUCUCCAAAGGGAGCAACAAUACCAUACCGUCCAAAGCCAACAAUGCCACCAGUAAUAUUUGCAGGUGGUCAGGCCUACACUGUUCAGGGGCAGUAUGCUAUCCCACAUCCUGAUGUUAGUAUAUGGUCACCGCUAACCAAGCUACAUCAGUUAGCUCUACAAAAUGCCCCACUUUUACCAACUCAUGCUCUUGGAACUCUAACUGCUCAAGACAUGAAUAAGAAACUGGAGCUGUAUGCUGAUGCAGGAUUGCUUAUGUCACCAGCUUUAGCUUCACUUGCAGCACACGGCAGUCUACGUCCUGGUACUUCUGCCACUCCCAACAUCAUUGCACCUGGAACUGUAACAGAAAUGAAUAUUCCAAAUGAUCUGAUUGGCUGUGUUAUUGGCAAAGGUGGAGCUAAAAUAAAUGAAAUUAGGCAACUCUCUGGGGCCACUAUAAAGAUCUCCAAUUCAGAUGAAAGUUCCAAAGACAGAACUGUGUCAAUAUCUGGAACACCUGAAGCCAUUAACUUAGCACAAUACUUGAUCAAUACAAGCAUCCAGAAUGCUCAGCUUCCAUUCAUUUGGAGAAACAUGGCUUCCAUUCCAAUGAAAUAAGAAACAAUUUAAAAGUUUUCCCGAAUCCCUUGGAUUGUUAUUUCUAUCAUAGUCAUUGGUUAGGCCACAUUUGAAGUACUGUGUUCAGUCUUGGGAUUUUUACCUUACAAAGGAUAUUCAUUUGUUGGAGAGGAUUCAAAUGAGGGCUACUGGGAUGGAAAUGUUGUCAUUACAAGAACAG